This 220-nucleotide ribosomal RNA is filed under the name uncultured bacterium. RNAcentral describes it as "partial 16S ribosomal RNA". It matches the Rfam family "Bacterial small subunit ribosomal RNA", at positions 1121 to 1342 of the family's 1533-position model. The record is from RNAcentral.
GCAUUAAGUUGGGCACUCUAAUGAGACUGCCGGUGAUAAACCGGAGGAAGGUGGGGAUGACGUCAAGUCAUCAUGCCCCUUAUGACCUGGGCUACACACGUGCUACAAUGGACAGUACAACGAGAAGCGAGCCUGCGAAGGCAAGCGAAUCUCUGAAAGCUGUUCUCAGUUCGGACUGCAGUCUGCAACUCGACUGCACGAAGCUGGAAUCGCUAGUAAU